UCUGGUUUCCGUGCCCAAUGUUUAACCGUUCGUCUUAUUUGAAAAAUUUAUGAAAAAAAAUUAAAAAGACAAGUAAUGCAUAAAAUAUUAAUUAUGUUUUAUCAUCUAACAACAAUGAAAAUAUAAAUUAUAAAAUAAUUUCAUAUAAGAGGGACAAUCAAAGUUGGACACGGAAACUCAAAGUUUGACCUUUU
Non-coding RNA from Oryza glaberrima (African rice), 194 nucleotides. The record is from Rfam. Lineage: Eukaryota; Viridiplantae; Streptophyta; Magnoliopsida; Poales; Poaceae.